AGAGUUUGAUCCUGGCUCAGGACGAACGCUGGCGGCGUGCUUAACACAUGCAAGUCGAACGAGAGGAGAAGGAAGCUUGCUUCUUUCAAAUCUAGUGGCAAACGGGUGAGUAACACGUAAACAACCUGCCUUCAGGAUGGGGACAACAGACGGAAACGACUGCUAAUACCGAAUACGUUCCUUAGGUCGCAUGACUUUAGGAAGAAAGGGUGGCCUCUACUUGUAAGCUAUCGCCUGAAGAGGGGUUUGCGUCUGAUUAGGUAGUUGGUGAGGUAACGGCCCACCAAGCCGACGAUCAGUAGCCGGUCUGAGAGGAUGAACGGCCACACUGGAACUGAGACACGGUCCAGACUCCUACGGGAGGCAGCAGUGGGGAAUCUUCCGCAAUGGGCGAAAGCCUGACGGAGCAACGCCGCGUGAGUGAUGACGGCCUUCGGGUUGUAAAGCUCUGUGAUCGGGGACGAACGGUCAGCAGACGAAUACUCUGCUGAAGUGACGGUACCCGAAUAGCAAGCCACGGCUAACUACGUGCCAGCAGCCGCGGUAACACGUAGGUGGCAAGCGUUGUCCGGGAAUUAUUGGGCGUAAAGCGCGCGCAGGCGGCUUCUUAAGUCCAUCUUAAAAGUGCGGGGCUUAACCCCGUGAUGGGAUGGAAACUGAGAGGCUGGAGUAUCGGAGAGGAAAGUGGAAUUCCUAGUGUAGCGGUGAAAUGCGUAGAGAUUAGGAAGAACACCGGUGGCGAAAGGCGACUUUCUGGACGACAACUGACGCUGAGCGCGAAAGCGUGGGAGCAACAGGAUUAGAUACCCUGUAGUCCACGCCGUAACGAUGAAUACUAGGUGUAGAGUAUCGACCCCUUCUGUGCGAGCUACACAUAGUAUCCGCCUGGGAGUACGAUCGCAGAUAAACUCAAGGAAUGACGGGGCCCGCACAGCGUGGAGUAUGUGGUUUAUUCGACGCACCGCGAGACUACCAGUCUUUGACAUGAUCGCUAUCAAGAAUGAGUUCCUCUCUCGAGGACGAAAAAGGUGGUGCACGGCUGUCUCAGCUCUGUUCCUGGAAUUUGGUUAGUUCCGCACAGGCACAUCUUAGUACAGCACGUUAUGGUGGGGACUCAUGAGAGACCGCCGCGGACAACGCGGAGGAAGGUGGGGAUGACGUCAAGUCAUCAUGCCCCUUAUGACCUGGGCUACACACGUACUACAAUGGGUGUCAACAAAGAGAAGCGAAGCCGCGAGGCAGAGCAAACCUCAAAAACACACCCCCAGUUCAGAUUGCAGGCUGCAACCCGCCUGCAUGAAGUAGGAAUCGCUAGUAAUCGCGGGUCAGCAUACCGCGGUGAAUACGUUCCCGGGCCUUGCACACACCGCCCGUC
This 1375-nucleotide ribosomal RNA is filed under the name uncultured bacterium. RNAcentral describes it as "bacterial SSU rRNA". It matches the Rfam family "Bacterial small subunit ribosomal RNA". The record is from RNAcentral.